Molecule: long non-coding RNA, 1000 nt
Organism: Triticum aestivum (bread wheat)
Lineage: Eukaryota; Viridiplantae; Streptophyta; Magnoliopsida; Poales; Poaceae
Exons: 3
Source: RefSeq, a predicted model, not a curated record
CCAACGAAGAUACAACCGAAAACCCAGAAAACCAGAUAUCCCGCCUGUCCUCCUCCCCCGUGGCCUCGCGCACGAUCUCUACGGAUGAUAGGGCAAAAACACACCCACGUGAGGCCGCCGCCGCUGCCCCCAUCCACCUCUACCCCCGGCCAUCCUCCUCUGCUGCAACUUUUGCUCGCCCCCGUUAGCCCCAGGUUCUCUCUUCCACGUGGCCUCUAACUACCGUGGUGGAGCUGGCCGUAGUGGUGCUGGUGAUACAACGGUCCAGAUUUCAAGCCGGGGUGAGCAGUGGCGUCGCGGAACUAGGGUGGUGGUGGCCGGCUGUGCGAGAGCUAAUGGAGAGAGGCCCCCAACAACAUCAGGAUUACACGACUGGCGUAGACAGCAUCCAACUCUCUGUUGGCACCGCCGAGAUCGACUAUGAGUUCAUAUAUAACUGUGCCUUCGGGGAGGAGCAGUAUUGAUAGAUGAAGUGAGAUUGGAUCGACGGCGAGGCCCGCGUUGGUGGUGGUGACCGGGGACUACGGCGACGCGUGGAUGUUCUCGUGACUGGGGACAAUAUCUUUCUUGUGUCCUAUACUUAACUACUUGUUCCUUAUCUGUUCCUAGAUUAAUUUUAAGUUUUCUUCGUGAUGGAACCCAUUGCAAUCACCAAUCUGUACUCGUAGUAUGUUCUUUCCCCUUAGGAACUUCUAAGGUGGGCCUGUUAUUUUGAUAUCAGGAACUAUGGUGUCCCCACUGCACUUGAUCCGUGAGCUGUAUGAGACCUUCCGCAACUUCAGAAUUCACAUUUCAGAUUAUGUACGUGACAGGAAGAUAACUUCCAAGAUGAAUCCAGGUGCUACAUCAGAUGAGCUCGAUACGAGUGAUGUCAGAUGUAUUAUUUGCCGUGAAUAGAUGACCAAAUCAAAGAGGCUACAUAGAGCUCCAAUUACCCCCUCCCAGAUAAUGGACGUGCAGGAUCAGCAUGACAUCAUGGAGCUCAAAACCUGGAUUUCAG